UCUGGUUGAUUCUGCCAGUAGUCAUAUGCUUGUCUCAAAGAUUAAGCCAUGCAUGUCUAAGUUUAAGCGAUUAAACGGUGAAACUGCGAAUGGCUCAUUAAAUCAGUUAUCGUUAUUGAUAGUACCUUACUACAUGGAUACCUGUGUAAUUCUAGAGCUAAUACAUGCUGAAAACCCCAACUUCGGAAGGGUGUAUUUAUAGAUAAAAAACCAAUGCCCUUCGGGCUCCUUGGUGAUUCAUAAUAACUUAACGAAUCGCAUGGCCUUGCGCCGCGAUGGUUCAUUCAAAUUCUGCCCUAUCAACUUUCGAUGGUAGGAUAGUGCCUACCAUGGUGGCAACGGUAACGGGAAUUAGGUUCGAUCCGGAAGGAGCCUGAGAAACGGCUACCACAUCCAAGGAAGCAGCAGGCGCGCAAAUUACCCAAUCCCGACACGGGAGUAGUGACAAUAAAUACUGAUACGGGCUCUUUCGGUCUCGUAAUUGGAAUGAGUACAAUUAAACCCCUUAACGAGGAACAAUUGGAGGCAAGUCUGGUGCCAGCAGCCGCGUAAUUCCAGCUCCAAUAGCGUAUAUUAAAGUUGUUGCAGUUAAAAAGCCGUAGUUGAACCUUGGGUCUGGCUGGCCGGUCCGCCUCACCGCGAGUACUGGUCCGGCUGGACCUUUCCUUCUGGGGAACCUCAUGGCCUUCACUGGCUGUGGGGGAACCAGGACUUUUACUGUGAAAAAAUUAGAGUGUUCAAAGGCCUUUGCUCGAAUACAUUAGCAUGGAAUAAUAGAAUAGGACGUGCGUUCUAUUUUGUUGGUUUCUAGGACCGCCGUAAUGAUUAAUAGGGAUAGUCGGGGCGUCAGUAUUCAGCUGUCAGAGGUGAAAUUCUUGGAUUUGCUGAAGACUAACUACUGCGAAAGCAUUCGCCAAGGAUGUUUUCAUUAAUCAGGGAACGAAAGUUAGGGGAUCGAAGACGAUCAGAUACCGUCGUAGUCUUAACCAUAAACUAUGCCGACUAGGGAUCGGACGUGUUUCUAUUAUGACCCGUUCGGCACCUUACGAGAAAUCAAAGUUUUGGGUUCUGGGGGGAAUGGUCGCAAGGCUGAAACUUAAAGAAAUUGACGG
Molecule: ribosomal RNA, 1112 nt
Filed under: Aspergillus campestris IBT 28561
Lineage: Eukaryota; Fungi; Ascomycota; Eurotiomycetes; Eurotiales; Aspergillaceae
Description: SSU rRNA
Rfam family: Eukaryotic small subunit ribosomal RNA
Source: RNAcentral